RNAcentral lists this long non-coding RNA (1533 nucleotides) under Apteryx haastii (Great spotted kiwi). Its description in RNAcentral is "lncRNA (ENSAHAG00000015659.1)". Lineage: Eukaryota; Metazoa; Chordata; Aves; Apterygiformes; Apterygidae. The record is from RNAcentral.
CGCAGCCCCAGCUGGGAAGGAGCAGGUGAAACGGCGGCAGGAGGAGGCGAUUCCCCGCGGGCGGGUGUUGCGUGCCGGCCUCCGCCUCCCGCGGCCGUGGGUUUUCCCCCGCGUUCGUUUGCAGCCCUUCCCUCUCCUCCGCGAGCGGGGCCCGGCUGCGGCCCGGCGCUCACCCACAGCCCUGCUCGCCCCCAGCACGGUGCUGGUGCUGCCCGCAUCCGCCUUCCUGGGAGCCGGCACGGCCAAGCUUGGGCUGGAUGCAGCUUAGAGCCUCCAGCACCUGCAAAUGGGAACCAUGCUACGGCCAUCCCCGAGGCGUCUGGGCUCCUAUCUGCCAGCCGGGAAGGGGGAGGUGGAGAGACGCAGCCGGGCCGGGGCUUCCCCUCCGCAGGCGCGGGGAGCCUGCCGAGCGCUAGAUCCGGAGCGGGGGGACACAGGGAGGGGGAACCUGCCCACCCACCUCGCCAAGCCAACUGGGGCAAAAUCCAGGCCGCCGCCGCCGCCACCGCCCCGAGAUGCGGCGCGGGGCUCCGGCAGCAGCUUCGCUCCGCAGGGAACGAGCCACCCUGUCCGCCCACGCCCCAUCCCGCGUUUCAGCGCUGGCAGCGCUCCUGUCCGCCCCGCUCUCCCCCCGGAGCCAUUCCUCCCCAGGCGGUGCGGUGGUGCUGCGGGUGCCACCGUGGCCCUUGGCAUCCCGCGGGACCUCGGCUGUCCUCGCGCGGCUGCCCGCAGCCCCUCUCCAAAGCGAUAAAUAAAAGUAUCCACCGGGAGAUGCUGCAUACGCUGCUAGGCCGGCUUGGGAGUGAGCAUCCAGGCGGCUCCGGAGCGAGCGGCUCGGGCACCAACUGGCCAAACCCGCCCAGCGUUUUGGCCUCCUUCCUCUGUUUUUCUAGCCCGUUCUUCACCUCUCCCCCUCCUCAUCCUCCGCCGCCCGUGGAGGCCGGGCUGGGGCACCUGGAAGCCCGUCUCUCCCAGGAAGCAGCUAACCGCAGCGGGCUCAGCCCUGCGGGAAGGGCAGGCGUCGGAGCAAACCUGUCGUGCCAGGAGCCGGCAUCGCCGCCUGGCACCUGCAUGGGACGGUGGAGAAAAUCCACCACCCAGCGAGAGGGUGCGAGCGGCCAAGGCGAUGACCGUGCAGGUGCUGCUUUCGCCGCGCAGGGGGCCAAGGAGAAAGGAAGCAUUUCUCCUCCGCGCCUCGUCUGCGCUCCGGUGCCGCGGCCGGGAGCACAAAGGAGAGGCUUUGUCUGCGAGGGAAGCGGUGCGGAGCCGGGCGGCAGAUGUGACGCUUCGGGAAGAUUUAUUUUCCCCCGAACAAUAAUAAACGGGACCCUUUGCACACAUGAGCAGCUGCAGUGCUCCUGGCCACGCUGCAGGCACUCGCCAGCCCGCGGCAGCGCCAGCGGCUCGGCCCUGUGCCCCUCGCCGGGGCGUCGCGCUGGGAGCGGGGCGAGCGGAGAGGACGGCCGCCGGGCGCGGGGAGCGAGGCCAGGCACCGCGAGCAGCACCGCACCGUCACGCAGCUCCGGCUCCUAA